UAAAUCCUUCCUGUACUA
This 18-nucleotide transfer RNA is filed under the name Crotaphytus collaris. RNAcentral's name for it is "partial tRNA-Met". Lineage: Eukaryota; Metazoa; Chordata; Lepidosauria; Squamata; Crotaphytidae. RNAcentral also lists the same sequence under 1 other name. The record is from RNAcentral.